This 77-nucleotide transfer RNA is filed under the name Hydrogenimonas sp. RNAcentral's name for it is "tRNA-Thr". It matches the Rfam family "tRNA". From Rfam's summary of the family: Transfer RNA (tRNA) molecules are approximately 80 nucleotides in length. Their secondary structure includes four short double-helical elements and three loops (D, anti-codon, and T loops). RNAcentral also lists the same sequence under 2 other names. The record is from RNAcentral. Lineage: Bacteria; Pseudomonadati; Campylobacterota; Epsilonproteobacteria; Campylobacterales; Hydrogenimonadaceae.
GCCGGUGUAGCUCAGUUGGCUAGAGCAGCUGAUUUGUAAUCAGCAGGUCGCGGGUUCGAGUCCCAUCACCGGCUCCA